GAACAAUGAUGACAAACAUGAACACAACACACUAUCUUUCGGGACUGAUUAGUGCAUUCCAUAUGUCAUGGUGUCAAAUCUGCAAAUCUGAUGUUC
This is a small nucleolar RNA of Lolium perenne, 96 nucleotides long. RefSeq annotates it as small nucleolar RNA SNORD96 family. NCBI's taxonomy places the organism in Eukaryota, Viridiplantae, Streptophyta, Magnoliopsida, Poales, Poaceae. The record is from RefSeq and is a predicted model, not a curated record.